GAUGAACGCUAGCGAUAGGCUUAACACAUGCAAGUCGAGGGGCAGCAUGGUCUUAGCCUGCUAAGACUGAUGGCGACCGGCGCACGGGUGCGUAACGCGUAUGCAACUUGCCUCACAGAGGGGGAUAACCCGUCGAAAGACGGACUAAUACCGCGUACACUCCAUCUUGGGCAUCCAAGGUAGAGGAAAUGAAAUUCGCUGUGAGAUAGGCAUGCGUCCCAUUAGCUAGUUGGUGAGGUAACGGCUCACCAAGGCGACGAUGGGUAGGGGAACUGAGAGGUUGAACCCCCACACUGGUACUGAGACACGGACCAGACUCCUACGGGAGGCAGCAGUGAGGAAUAUUGGUCAAUGGGCGAGAGCCUGAACCAGCCAAGUCGCGUGAAGGAUGACUGUCUUAUGGAUUGUAAACUUCUUUUAUACGGGAAUAACAAGAGUCACGUGUGACUCCCUGCAUGUACCGUAUGAAUAAGCAUCGGCUAACUCCGUG
This 490-nucleotide ribosomal RNA is filed under the name uncultured bacterium. RNAcentral's name for it is "partial 16S ribosomal RNA". It matches the Rfam family "Bacterial small subunit ribosomal RNA", at positions 28 to 507 of the family's 1533-position model. The record is from RNAcentral.